AGCAGCCGCGGUAAUUCCAGCUCCAAUAGCGUAUAUUAAAGUUGUUGCAGUUAAAAAGCUCGUAGUUGAAUUUCGAGAUCAAAUUGUUGGUCGUGCCUCGGUACGUACUGGCGUUAUUGAUUUCUCCCUUCUGACGAUCCGCGAUGUCAUUAAUUUGGUGUCGCGGGGAAUCAGGACUGUUACUUUGAAAAAUUAGAGUGUUUAAAGCAGGCUCACGCUUGAAUACAUUAGCAUGGAAUAAUGAAAUAGGACGUUUGAUUCUAUUUUGUUGGUUUCUAGGAUCGACGUAAUGAUUAAUAGGGAUAGUUGGGGGCAUUAGUAUUCAAUUGUCAGAGGUGAAAUUCUUGGAUUUUAUUGAAGACUAACUACUGCGAAAGCAUUUGCCAAGGAUGUUUUCAUUAAUCAAGAACGAAAGUUAGGGGAUCGAAGACGAUCAGAUACCGUCGUAGUCUUAACCAUAAACUGUGCCGACUAGGGAUCGGAUGAUGUUGAUUUUU
Molecule: small RNA, 497 nt
Filed under: uncultured Glomus
Lineage: Eukaryota; Fungi; Glomeromycota; Glomeromycetes; Glomerales; Glomeraceae
Description: SSU rRNA
Rfam family: Eukaryotic small subunit ribosomal RNA
Source: RNAcentral